UGCGGAGGGAUCAUUACACAAAA
Molecule: ribosomal RNA, 23 nt
Filed under: Bipolaris sp. SZ-2011
Lineage: Eukaryota; Fungi; Ascomycota; Dothideomycetes; Pleosporales; Pleosporaceae
Description: partial 18S ribosomal RNA
Source: RNAcentral